GGGGAAUAUUGCGCAAUGGGGGCAACCCUGACGCAGCCAUGCCGCGUGAAUGAAGAAGGCCUUCGGGUUGUAAAGUUCUUUCGGUAGCGAGGAAGGCACUUAGUUUAAUAGACUAGGUGAUUGACGUUAACUACAGAAGAAGCACCGGCUAACUCCGUGCCAGCAGCCGCGGUAAUACGGAGGGUGCGAGCGUUAAUCGGAAUAACUGGGCGUAAAGGGCACGCAGGCGGUGACUUAAGUGAGGUGUGAAAGCCCCGGGCUUAACCUGGGAAUUGCAUUUCAUACUGGGUCGCUAGAGUACUUUAGGGAGGGGUAGAAUUCCACGUGUAGCGGUGAAAUGCGUAGAGAUGUGGAGGAAUACCGAAGGCGAAGGCAGCCCCUUGGGAAUGUACUGACGCUCAUGUGCGAAAGCGUGGGGAGCAAACAGGAUUAGAUACCCUGGUAGUCCACGCUGUAAACGAUGUCGAUUUGGGGGUUGAACUUUAAGUUUGGCGCCCGUAGCUAACGUGAUAAAUCGACCGCCUGGGGAGUACGGCCGCAAGGUUA
Molecule: ribosomal RNA, 546 nt
Filed under: uncultured bacterium
Lineage: Bacteria
Description: bacterial SSU rRNA
Rfam family: Bacterial small subunit ribosomal RNA
Source: RNAcentral